Molecule: transfer RNA, 62 nt
Filed under: Cosmoscarta heros
Lineage: Eukaryota; Metazoa; Arthropoda; Insecta; Hemiptera; Cercopidae
Description: tRNA-His
Source: RNAcentral
ACUUAAAUAUUUUAUUUAAAAUUAUAGUUUGUGGAACUAUAGAUGUUGUUUAACUUUAAGUC